Molecule: transfer RNA, 67 nt
Filed under: bovine gut metagenome
Rfam family: tRNA
About the family: Transfer RNA (tRNA) molecules are approximately 80 nucleotides in length.
Source: RNAcentral
UGCUAUGGCUCAGUAGGCAGAGCACUUCCUUGGUAAGGAAGAGGUCACCGGUUCGAAUCCGGUUAGC